UGGGGAAUAUUGGACAAUGGGCGAAAGCCUGAUCCAGCCAUGCCGCGUGUGUGAAGAAGGUCUUCGGAUUGUAAAGCACUUUAAGUUGGGAGGAAGGGCAGUAAAUUAAUACUUUGCUGUUUUGACGUUACCGACAGAAUAAGCACCGGCUAACUCUGUGCCAGCAGCCGCGGUAAUACAGAGGGUGCAAGCGUUAAUCGGAAUUACUGGGCGUAAAGCGCGCGUAGGUGGUUUGUUAAGUUGGAUGUGAAAUCCCCGGGCUCAACCUGGGAACUGCAUCCAAAACUGGCAAGCUAGAGUAUGGUAGAGGGUGGUGGAAUUUCCUGUGUAGCGGUGAAAUGCGUAGAUAUAGGAAGGAACACCAGUGGCGAGGGCGACCACCUGGACUGAUACUGACACUGAGGUGCGAAAGCGUGGGGAGCAAACAGGAUUAGAUACCCUUGUAGUCCCUGAGCGGGCUGGCAAGGCGCAU
This 472-nucleotide ribosomal RNA is filed under the name uncultured bacterium. RNAcentral's name for it is "bacterial SSU rRNA". It matches the Rfam family "Bacterial small subunit ribosomal RNA", at positions 355 to 825 of the family's 1533-position model. The record is from RNAcentral.